This 253-nucleotide ribosomal RNA is filed under the name uncultured bacterium. Its description in RNAcentral is "partial 16S ribosomal RNA". It matches the Rfam family "Bacterial small subunit ribosomal RNA", at positions 524 to 776 of the family's 1533-position model. The record is from RNAcentral.
UACAGAGGUCUCAAGCGUUGUUCGGAUUCAUUGGGCGUAAAGGGUGCGUAGGCGGCUUUGUAAGUUAGAGGUGAAAGCCCGGGGCUCAACUCCGGAACUGCCUUUAAGACUGCAUCGCUAGAAUCCAGGAGAGGUGAGUGGAAUUCCGAGUGUAGAGGUGAAAUUCGUAGAUAUGGGGAGGAACACCGGUGGCGAAGGCGGCCAUCUGGACGGAUACUGACGCUGAGACGCGAAAGCGUGGGUAGCAAACAGG